Molecule: ribosomal RNA, 359 nt
Filed under: uncultured bacterium
Lineage: Bacteria
Description: partial 16S ribosomal RNA
Rfam family: Bacterial small subunit ribosomal RNA
Source: RNAcentral
CCUACGGGGGACAGCAGUGAGGAAUAUUGGUCAAUGGGCGCGAGCCUGAACCAGCCAAGUAGCGUGAAGGAUGACUGCCCUACGGGUUGUAAACUUCUUUUAUAAAGGAAUAAAGUGAGGCACGUGUGCCUUUUUGUAUGUACUUUAUGAAUAAGGAUCGGCUAACUCCGUGCCAGCAGCCGCGGUAAUACGGAGGAUCCGAGCGUUAUCCGGAUUUAUUGGGUUUAAAGGGAGCGUAGAUGGGUUGUUAAGACAGUUGGGAAAGUUUGCGGCUCAACCGUAAAAGUGCAAUGGAGACUGGCAGUGGGGAGGAGAGUGGAGGUAGGCGGAAGUGGUGGUGUAGCGGUGAAAUGCGUAGA